This 346-nucleotide RNase P RNA is filed under the name Acidimicrobiales bacterium. RNAcentral's name for it is "RNase P RNA component class A". It matches the Rfam family "Bacterial RNase P class A". Rfam says of the family: Ribonuclease P (RNase P) is a ubiquitous endoribonuclease, found in archaea, bacteria and eukarya as well as chloroplasts and mitochondria. Its best characterised activity is the generation of mature 5'-ends of tRNAs by cleaving the 5'-leader elements of precursor-tRNAs. The record is from RNAcentral. Lineage: Bacteria; Bacillati; Actinomycetota; Acidimicrobiia; Acidimicrobiales.
UGAGUCGGCUAGGUGGCUGCGGUGCUCCAUUUAUUGGAGGCUGAGGAAGGUCGGGGCUCCAUAGGGCAGAGUGCUGGCUAACGGCCAGUCAGGGUGACCUGCAGGACAGUGCCACAGAAAGGAAACCGCCGAUGGCUUUUAGCACAGGUAAGGGUGAAAGGGUGCGGCAAGAGCGCACCAGCAUCAAAGGUGACUUUGAUGGCUUGGUAAACCCCACUCGGAGCAAGGCAAAAUUUGAGGUGGGCUGCCCGCCUAAUACUUCAUGGUAUGCCGCUUAGAUGGAUAGCCACCCAAAGAAAAUCCACAUUUUCUUGGACAGAACCCCGCCUACAGGCCGACUCACUUU